This 1323-nucleotide long non-coding RNA is filed under the name Homo sapiens (human). Its description in RNAcentral is "HSALNT0344597". The record is from RNAcentral. Lineage: Eukaryota; Metazoa; Chordata; Mammalia; Primates; Hominidae.
UCAGGUGCAUAUCUGAAAAUUAAGCAGAAGGCCGUGUAUGAUGAAGGUAAAAUGGGUUCUGAGCAUCGGCUUGACUCCACAAUGAAUGGCCAGAUCACCUUGGACAAAUCAGAUGAAUACUGCUUAUUUUUUUUAAGGACAGAAAAACCCUGCUUUUCUGCCUCAGUGUGAAGCAUGCACUGAAUAUCCUCUAUGUGUAAAUGGAAAGCACUGGGAUUGAAGCUGGGGAGUAGAGGUCUGCUUGGAGAGUUGUGCCAUGUGCCUGCUGCAGGCUCAUCCCUGCUGGUUUUAACUGUGCUGACACCGGGCAGUGGAACAUAUUUCUCCCCUCCUCUCAGUGGCUGUGGAUGACUGUCUUUAGGAUUAGUUCUUUAUGGAAGCCACAGCAAUGAACAAGACACAAUCCUGGACCCCAUGAGCUCACAGUGAGUGACAGCAGCCACUACAGUGUUAACGAAAGUUUAAUUCGGAGGCCAAUGGGCUGGGAUGGCCCCAGCACUUUUAGUUCCUAUGAACAACUUAUGAAAUUUUCUGUCUCACCUCUGAAGCCCUAGAGAAGUGCUACACUGCUUGCAGUCUGGUGCUGCCCAAUUUAUGAACUGCUGUCUGUUCAAAUAAACUCCACAGAAUUUUAAUGUGCCUAAGUUGAUCUUUUAACAACAGAAAUGCCCAAACCUCAGGAAAACAAGGAUGGCUCACCCUAGAUAGCCAAGCAGGGCAUGAGACGACGUCCUGUGCAUGGGAGUCACCUAGCUGGUGAGUGAGCAGCUGGAUGUAGACCGUGCAUGCCAGAUUUUGUUUAAGGCUCUCCCAUGUGGGUGUGCAGCACAUGCACUGAUAUGAGCCACAUGGCCUCUUCCUGCCUGCAAAGCUUCCACUUGACACAUUUGCUGGCACUGAGCCAUCCUUGCAUUCCUGAGAUAAACCUUACAUGAUUGAGAGCCAUCACUGUGUUAAAAGUAUGGGCACAUGCAUAUUUAUUAGGUAUACAUAGGCAUACUUCUGUACCUGUAAAUGUCUAAUGUCUUAUUUAAUAUUUUCCAUCUGUUCCCAGCAGUCAAUCUGACCUAUAAUUUUCUUUUCUUAUUCUGUCCUUGGCCUGUUUUGUUACCAAGAAUAUAUCAUUCUCAUGUUAGCCAAGUAGCUUUCCCCUCUUUUGUAUUCCCUGGCACAUACUCACUCACUCUUUCUCUCUCUCUCUCUCAAGGAAAGAGAGAUCUAGUUAUUUAAAAUUAUGGAUUUAUUUACUGGUAGUAAGUUUAUUUGCAUUCUCACUGAAUUGUUCAAUUUUAUUUUUUAGACAAAUUGUCCUUUUUAUCUAGC